RNAcentral lists this ribosomal RNA (253 nucleotides) under uncultured bacterium. RNAcentral describes it as "partial 16S ribosomal RNA". It matches the Rfam family "Bacterial small subunit ribosomal RNA", at positions 524 to 776 of the family's 1533-position model. The record is from RNAcentral.
UACGUAGGGGGCAAGCGUUGUCCGGAAUCAUUGGGCGUAAAGCGCGUGUAGGCGGCUUGGUAAGUCUGCUCUGAAAGUCCGGGGCUCAACUCCGGAUCUGCGGUGGGUACGGGCAGACUAGAGUGAUGUAGGGGAGACUGGAAUUCCUGGUGUAGCGGUGAAAUGCGCAGAUAUCAGGAGGAACACCGAUGGCGAAGGCAGGUCUCUGGGCAUUAACUGACGCUGAGGAGCGAAAGCAUGGGGAGCGAACAGG